Molecule: long non-coding RNA, 334 nt
Filed under: Mytilus galloprovincialis (Mediterranean mussel)
Lineage: Eukaryota; Metazoa; Mollusca; Bivalvia; Mytilida; Mytilidae
Source: RNAcentral
GUGGGUGUACGGCGUAAAUAUCCGGCAUGAAGACUGCGCAUGCCGGACUCUCAUCUAUAACUGAUAUAGUAUCAUGAAUGUUAACGUUAUUGUGUAUAUUUGAAGUUUCUUGUUGCACUUAAUGGUCGUAGAUUUUAUCUGGUACUGCUUUUCUUUUCUGAGUUUCGUACAACGUCAUCUUAAUGUCAUUUUGGAAACACAUCAUCUACUAAAACUAUGUUUCGUAUAUAAGUCAUUAAAAUUGUAGAAUACAAAAACAAAUAGUGCUAAAAGUAUUUGGAUACAAUGAUACAUGUAGAAAAGGUUUUAAAAAUAGAAUUACACAUUCACAAAU